Long non-coding RNA from Lycium barbarum (goji berry), 373 nucleotides. RefSeq lists it as uncharacterized. The record is from RefSeq and is a predicted model, not a curated record. The transcript is spliced from 3 exons. Lineage: Eukaryota; Viridiplantae; Streptophyta; Magnoliopsida; Solanales; Solanaceae.
UAGGGUUUGACAUUUUAGAGUCUUUGCACAAAAAGAAAACAUUCUACGGCGGGGGAAGAAGACGAUUGCUAGUGUUCGGACCUUGAGUACUUAGAGGCUCUUUCGAAGGGCAAGGCUCAGAUUUGGUUGUUCGUGGCUCCAGCUCGGCAGCGAGAGUACCAGGUGAGAUCCACUUCUACCCCUCGUGGCUGAUUAUCGAGGUUGCUGCCGAGUCUAUUCAGGGUGCGCAUGAGGCCGUUCGCUGCACGAAGACUCUUCUUACUAUUUCUAUCUUAUUUCCAUUUCGAGACAUCUUUUGAGAUCUUAAGUAUUAUUUAGACUUGUAGUAAUUGGUAGAUGCUCUUGUAUGACCUGAGCAGAUACUGGGGUUGGA